This 297-nucleotide ribosomal RNA is filed under the name uncultured Acinetobacter sp. RNAcentral's name for it is "partial 16S ribosomal RNA". It matches the Rfam family "Bacterial small subunit ribosomal RNA", at positions 1 to 305 of the family's 1533-position model. Lineage: Bacteria; Pseudomonadati; Pseudomonadota; Gammaproteobacteria; Moraxellales; Moraxellaceae. The record is from RNAcentral.
UUAGAGUUUGAUCCUGGCUCAGAUUGAACGCUGGCGGCAGGCUUAACACAUGCAAGUCGAGCGGAGAGAGGUAGCUUGCUACUGAUCUUAGCGGCGGACGGGUGAGUAAUACUUAGGAAUCUGGCUAUUAGUGGGGGACAACAUUUCGAAAGGGAUGCUAAUACCGCAUACGUCCUACGGGAGAAAGCAGGGGAUCUUCGGACCUUGCGCUAAUAGAUGAGCCUAAGUCGGAUUAGCUAGUUGGUGGGGUAAAGGCCUACCAAGGCGACGAUCUGUAGCGGGUCUGAGAGGAUGAUC